Molecule: long non-coding RNA, 256 nt
Filed under: Lathyrus oleraceus (garden pea)
Lineage: Eukaryota; Viridiplantae; Streptophyta; Magnoliopsida; Fabales; Fabaceae
Description: Pisum sativum (pea) long non-coding RNA (PSAT_LNC025193)
Source: RNAcentral
GUAAUUCUGACUUUGGAGAAAACAUUUGAUAUCAUAAUACCAUGGCUUAUCAUCCUUGAUUUCUUCAACAGCAAAUACAUGGGCUGGCCUAUCAAGAUGCAUCACAAUCAGAUAGGGAACUUCAUUCUAAAACAUCACUACGAUCAUGGAAGCCAAUGUUGCAAGAGCAUCUGCCAUCCGAUUUUCAUCUCGAGGGAUAUGAUGAAACUCAACCUUUGCAAAGAAAGUUGAUAUCCUCCAUGCAUAAUCUCUAUAU